AGGAUCAACGCUGGCGGCGUGCCUAAUGCAUGCAAGUCGAACGUGCGGCUUUCGGGCCGAGGCGUGGCGGACGGGUGAGGAACGCGUGGGCAAUCUGCCCAGAGGUGGGGGGUAGCCUUCGGAAACGGAGGGCAAUUCCGCAUGUGCUCGAUCGCUGGUGGGGUGAUUGAGGAAAGGGUUUUCGGACUCGCCUUUGGAGGAGCCUGCGGCCGAUUAGCUAGUUGGUGGGGUGACGGCUCACCAAGGCGAUGAUCGGUAGCUGGUCUGAGAGGACGGCCAGCCACAUGGGGGACUGAGACACGGCCCCAACUCCUACGGGAGGCAGCAGCAAGGAAUUUUCCGCAAUGGGCGAAAGCCUGACGGAGCAACGCCGCGUGUGGGUGACGCUUUUCGGAGUGUAAACCACUUUUCUUGGGGACGACGAGCGACGGUACCCGAGGAAGAAGGACCGGCUAACUACGCGCCAGCAGCCGC
Molecule: ribosomal RNA, 474 nt
Filed under: uncultured bacterium
Lineage: Bacteria
Description: SSU rRNA
Rfam family: Bacterial small subunit ribosomal RNA
Source: RNAcentral